UACACUUCUAUUUUGAAUGUUGAUAGAAAUCAAUAUUCAACACAGAAACAUUCUACAGGAUGAGUUUGUGGUUAACUUUAAUGAACAAUGUUCAAAACAAAGGUGAUAUUCUCCAUUCGUAAAAAUAAAAAAAUAUUCAGUAACUGAAUUGUGUACUAGCCUUUGUGAACCAUACAAUUUACUUAUACUUUUUUGAAAAAAUUGAAGCUCAGAGAUGACGAACGAUAUGUAAUAUAUGGUGAUUAAGUAAAUCAGCCAAAAAAGUCUGAAGAAACACAUCACAGUGUUAGUAAUAAAACACAUGAUUUCUUGUUUUUUAUGUUGCAAAUGCAUGAUUGGAAAACUACUAAAUUUAAUAUUAAUACCUCCUGGGAAUUUGAACUGAACUGACACAACAAGGGUUGUGAUUAAUAAUUGUGAAGUAUGUUAUGAUUAAUUAUUAAGGAACAAAUUAUUUGUCUUUUUUUUUUAAAUGUAAUACUACUUGUGUCUGCUCCUAUCAAAGGUCUAAGGAUAUUCCAUAGUAACAGAAGAUCGUAGUUAUUACAUGUAAAUCAAGAGGUACUAUAUAAUAUAUUUGUGUGUAAAUAAAUGAAAAAUAAAAACUCAAUAAUGAACGCACUAACGUCGCUGUGCAAUCGACGAAUUUAUUUUCUUCACAAUAUUUGGUGGCAAAAAAAAAUAGCGCAGUAUACAUUCACGUGAUAAAUUCAGUGUGAUCUACCUUAUUCGAAGAUAAUUUCGUAGCUAUUGAAAUUGUUCUUUAUCCUAACACAUUUCUACAAAAAUUCAAUAUGAUUGCAGUUCAACAAUCCUACUAAGGUUGAAAAUGUUUUUAAUAAAAUUGGACCGAUAAUGCAUCACGUAGAUCAUUUAGAAACCAGAAGGAUUGUAGAAUGCAUUAUAUCGAUGAGUUCGGUAACAAUUUUACUUGCAGAGUCGCGAACUGUGUAGUACGCAACGCCAUUGGAAGAUGUCUGUAAUUUUGUUUUUUUACAAGCGUUAUUCCUAAUUCGUGCGAUUAAAUAUUCCAAGUGUUCUAUGCAUUUCUAAACCAAUUUCAUAAUAUACAAAGCAUACUACGAAUAGGAAGGCAAAGGAAGGAUUGUUGAUGUUAAGUUGAGGUUAUGUUCGUGCGUAAUUCCGGAUUAGCGAUCUACGCGACAGGUGAUAAUUACAUUUCACGUUGAAACCUUAUGUUCGCAGUAUCUCGUAAUUAAUAAAAUGUGCUCAUGAAUAGUUUCAAACUGUUUGGUAAACAAAUGUGAAGUGCGUCAAGUGUAAAUAGUGAAACAUAAUCAUUUUUAUAGUAAAAGACAUCUUUAAGCCUAACAUAACCUAAUUACAUAUUCAAUGAAGGAUAAAUGAUACAGAAUUUUGCACCACUACUGUAAUGGAAACAAACAUCGGUACAGAAUUCAAACUAAAAAAUGGCUCAACUACAGAGCUCUCUUCAAACUGUCAAGAGUACGUUGAUGAAUAUCCAUCGCCAUAUAUCAAAGCAGAGUUGCCUUUCAUCAGCGAAGAACUUGCUCGCUCUGCAACAUUCUCCCGUUGCACACAAGCUGGACGUGUUAAAGAAUGUAUUCGCAUACAAGAUCAAAAAUCCACUACUCUUGGUACGAAGGAUGAUUUUGUAGAUACCGAAACAUCAUCAGAGAACAAUUUUGGCUCGAGAAAUGUAAGAUCGGGGAGCAUUUUUUCAUGGGAUUCUCUAAUGAAAUCGUGGCAAGAUUCUUCUACUCAGUGCGACAGGGAUAUCAUUCUCAAAGAGAAUCCAAUUGUAGAUGAUAAUUACAAAUAUACGGCUCGUUCUGAUCAAGAACAGUCAAGUACUUCUACAGAAAACAUCAUUUCUGGGCAAUCGAAUGAUUUUGUACAAAAUGACAAGGAAGAAGAGGAUAGGGCUCAAUGCGAACUGUGUAAAAAGUGGGUCAGAAAAAGUUAUCUAAUACGUCAUACGAGAGGCCACUACGCCAAGAGAACGCAUAAAUGUCCCCAACCAAAUUGCAAUAAGUCUUUUAUACAAAGAUCAAAACUCCUAGCUCAUACUCAAGUCCACAAUGGCACCAGACCCUAUCAAUGCAAUAUUUGUCAGAAAAAAUUCUCUCAGAGUUCUCACUUAACUGUUCACAUAAGCGUUCACACUGGUGAAAAACCUUAUGAAUGUAACAUUUGCAAUAGAAAGUUCACUCAGAAAUCGGCACUGACUGUACACUCGUUGAUCCAUACUGGUCAAAAAUCAUACGAGUGUAGUAUUUGUCAGAAAUUUUUUAGGCAAAAAUCACACUUGACCGUACACAUGAAAUUUCAUGCUGGUAUAAAGCCGUAUGCCUGCUCUAUUUGUAGUAAAUCAUUCACUCGUAAAUCAAGCUUGAAUCGACACGAAUUAACCCAUAGUAAAAUGAAGCCUCACAAGUGUCGUAUCUGUAAAAAAACAUUUAUUCAAAAAUCAAAUCUAAGUCGACAUGUACAAACCCAUAUGGAGCAGGGGGUGACAAAUGAAUUUGUCGAAUGCAUAUUGCCAGACAUCAAAACUGAUCAAUUAUACCAUUGCAAUGCAACUUUAUUGGUCAGAUUCUACAUCUUUUAGGAAUCAUGUACAUAAUAUUAGUGUCUAGAUACUGUGAAAAUAUGAUCAUUCUUAGAUCUGGAUGUAAUAGAAAUAUUUUACUUCCAUGGAAAAAAAUUUAAGGGGAGCCUCCAUUGAAAUUGCGAUGCCUGGCAUUUUUCAAUAGAACUAAAUGCGUAUCAGAAUACUUGUUUUCGGAUCUUAAAAAUUACGAACAACUAUCUCAAAAUCGAAAAUAUGUUUUUGAUAAUGCGUGUUUCAGUCUUUGAUAGACUCUAGACUAAACGCUCUUAUUUCUUCCGAGCAAGAUGUCGGACUGUCGCAUCAAUUUUUUUAGGAUUCCUAGCAUUCAUACGAAGAAUGCCUAGGAUUGCUUUCAUGUUUUUAGAAACCCAAAUUUGAAACAAGAAAUGAAAGCCCAUAUUUUAUGACUCAUAUUUUGCCUUUCUCUUGCAACCUUUGUGUUAGUCCCACAAACCAAGUAUUCGUAACUUCUUCAAAUUUCUCUUCGAAAAACGUACUUUAAAAAAAUUUUUUUCCAAAUUUCAGCUAUGUUUCGUAAAUUCAGCUAAGCUAACUUUCGGAAAUGGUAUUAUUCAAUUUCUAAUUAUUUGAGAAACAAUGCAGUGCUAUGUGGUUUUGAAUCUUAAUUUAUGUAUUGAAGGUGCGCAAUUCCUGGAGCUUCUGGUCAUAAAAAUUGCCAACAUUACCCAAGUUUCGUAGAAAAAGGUCAGGGAAUUCUGUAUUUUUAGACAGAAAAAGUCAAUGAAAAGUCGUAAAAUUUUAUUUGAGCAAGGUUGUCUCUACGUUUCAGAAAUCCUAAAGAUAAUCGAUGCGACAGCUCGACAUCUUGCUCGAAAGAAAUGAAAGUGCGAAGUCUGGAACCUGUGCAAGUUCAAAACACGCAUUACUGAAAACAUUUUUUCGGUUUUGAGAUCGUUGCUCGUGGUUUUUAAGGCCCAUGAACAAGUAGCCUGAUGCACAUUUAGUUAUUUUGAAAAAUGUAAAACUUAGCAAAUUCACCAGAGGUCCCCCUUAAAUGGCAUAACUGUUGAAAGAAUUGACAUAUCUUUAAAACAGUUUCAAUAAAAGUCGAUUAUUAUUCAACCAAGAUUAUUGAACAUGGUUGAAAAUUGCACAAAGUUCAACGAUACUCUCUGCUUGUGAAACUAUAUUUACACUAUUUGUAUUACCUCAAAAAAAGAAAAAAAAACAACACUCUUACUCCAAUCUCAGAAACGAAAAAAAUAAAAUGAACUAGCUCACAGGUGGGUAAAGGAAAAGGUUUUAGAGAAAAAAUUCUGGCAACAAAAUCUCACUAUUACUAAUAUUUUUUUCAUCGUUCCUUGUAUGUGUAAUAAAUCCAGCUUGUUUUGUUACACAAGUAUAUUACAUUAUUGAUAGAAUUUUAUCAAAAAAGAUUAGGAAUAGUUGAUAUUAUUCAUGUAAUCAAUGAACAAGAGUUGUCACCGCAUAGUGAAAUCAUGUCAUGAAUAUAUGUAUAAAAUAUACUUUUUUUGGAAAUUGUAAUUCUUAUAUACUUAAUCUACUUGCUAAUCAAUUGGUGAUGUUAUAUACCAUAAAGAUAUACAUGUAACGCAUUGUUCCGAGUAUACGCCGACCCCCAAUUCUGAAACAGUAUUUCAGGAUGUUUUUCUUGGUUAUCCGUACAUAAACGGGUCCACGUAUAAGACAAGGACGAUUUUGACAGGUGUUGUCAAUGACAAAAAACCUUGGGUUAUAUUCAGAACAAUACGGUAUGUUUAUGUGUAUAUAAGAAAUUUGAUGGGCAGUAUUUGAUAACAGUUUUAGUACCAAUUUAAUAAAUUCAAUUAUUAUUUUAUUAUUACACACAUUAAUAUACAUUUCGGAAUGUUAAUUAAUUAUAUGUUACCAGUGAAUAAUAUUGCACGAUUUUUCCUGCUGAACGUUUUUCAGUUAGAAUCAUCGUUGCCAGGAACAAAAAUUUAUAGUUGCUAUGGUUUAUUGUUAAUUGCAGAAUGAGGUCAAAACAAAUAUUGUAAAAUAAUAUACGUUCAAUUGUUUGGCGUACCUUUAAAAUUAUUUUUAGCCGACACUAAAUAUUCUCAAACGAAUUGAAUGAAAUUAAUGUUAUAUUCUUUAAUUAAAAUGGUGGCAUAACUAGUUAAGUUGAUUCAUUUGUAAAUCUAAAAUCAUAAGUGUUUAUUGCAAUGUCGUCGCCUUCAUUAAUUGAAUCGAGCCCCAAAAAUCUUGAAAAUUCAACGACGGAUAAUGAAAGCGAGCAAGUCAGUAUAGGUAGGUAUAAUAGUUCUAUACAACGUAUCUCAUAUACGAGGUAUAAAUUCUCAGCAGGAUCAAUACAGCAACGCAGUAUUCAUGAAAAUGAUUGCGACUCUACUAUUCAAUCGGAGAGAACGAUAGUCUCGCUGUUAUCAUCAAGUGUUGA
Molecule: unclassified non-coding RNA, 5000 nt
Filed under: Neodiprion pinetum (white pine sawfly)
Lineage: Eukaryota; Metazoa; Arthropoda; Insecta; Hymenoptera; Diprionidae
Description: zinc finger protein 271-like, transcript variant X1
Source: RNAcentral